GACCUCCUGGGAAGGCCUCGUGUUGCAACCC
RNAcentral lists this ribosomal RNA (31 nucleotides) under Cliffortia aculeata. The record is from RNAcentral. RNAcentral also lists the same sequence under 1 other name. Lineage: Eukaryota; Viridiplantae; Streptophyta; Magnoliopsida; Rosales; Rosaceae.